This 116-nucleotide small nucleolar RNA is filed under the name Meriones unguiculatus (Mongolian gerbil). RNAcentral's name for it is "Small nucleolar RNA SNORA17 (ENSMUGG00000003187.1)". It matches the Rfam family "Small nucleolar RNA SNORA17". From Rfam's summary of the family: snoRNA ACA 17 belongs to the H/ACA family of snoRNAs and is predicted to guide pseudouridylation of the 28S rRNA at positions U4659 and U4598. It shares the same host gene together with ACA43. Lineage: Eukaryota; Metazoa; Chordata; Mammalia; Rodentia; Muridae. The record is from RNAcentral.
AGUGCCCCUGAAGGCAUUGGAGGUGUGGCUGUCAGGAGGUGGCAGAGGGGAGAGAGGCUAUGUCUAUGUUCAUUGUUCUCACCUAUGAACAUCUGAAUGAUUAAUAGUCUAACAAU